UUUUUUUUUGGGUGAAAAUCUUAGGUGCAGCAGUGACUCUAUUUUUCAUUUACCAUUAUUUUUUAUUCUGAAACACUAAAUAUAUCAUAACAACACUAAUAGAUCAAAAUUGAAUCUGAAAUAAGAAAAAAAUACAUAUAAAUCUUUUUUUAUGCCCAAUACAAAUAAGAUAAUCCACUAUGUGAUUACCCUCAUGAUAAAUAUGAAUAAACUCAAUCUCCCAUCCUCUUUAUCAUCUCAUGAAUCUGAUUCAUUACUGUAGUAAGCAAAAUGCUGGUGAAUUUGUCAUAACAUUUUGACAUAUCAACUACAAUACACAUCGAGAAUUAAAAUAUACCCGUAAUUUCUUUCCAACUAUAUUAAAGCCUAGCCCAUUGCUUCUAUUCCUAGAGAAAGCUACGAACAAGGGGUUUGGCGCUUUGUAAGUGAAGAACCUUAUACGACGAGUUUGGAUUAAUUAGCCUCAUUCUAAUUCCAUCAUUGUGUGUGUUGAUAACCUAAAAAUAUCGAGAUCGAAUUCUAAACACCAAACAUAUGGACAUGAAUGUAAAAAAACCCCUUAAAAAUCAUUCAUCUAGCUGAGUCAAAGUAAAGUUGAGUCUAAAACCCUAAUUACUUCUUUAUGGGCCAAAUAGGCGAAAACCCUAAUCUCAUCAGUAUUUUUCUAUUAUACUAACUACUCUUCAGUAUUUGCUUAUUGGCUUCGGCAGUUCCUUACGCUAGGGUUUCCAGGAAUUGAAUAGCAUCAGAGAUCAAAAUCAUGAUGAGCAAUCUUCCCGACAGGUUAAGCAAUCUUCCGGAUGCCAUCAUUCACCACAUCCUUUCGUUCCUCGACACCAAAUUGGCCGUCCAAACCUCCGUACUGUCCCGAUCGUGGAGGCACGUAUGGAAACAUCUCCACACCCUCAAUCUGCACGCAGACUCUUCCCCAAACUUGUUGAGUUUCGUCAAGUUUGUGGAAAUGGCUCUGCUUCUACGCUACGAACUCAAUCUCUCCAAGGUUAGGUUCAUGGUCGACGACUACUAUGCAAGCCGCUGGACUCAGAAUACGCUUGUGCUGACAUUGAAUUCGGUAAUCAGAUAUGCAUUCUCCAAUCACACUCGGCAUUUAGUCGUCAUCAAACGGACGGAAAUAAAUCCGAAUUUAUCCAAAUUGUUCGGCUCAGUCAUGGCUCUCAAUCUUGAAACCCUAGCAUUAAUAGGUAUCGCCCUCGAUGCAAGAUUCGGAUCUUCCCCUGCUCGUUUCCCAAUGUUGACCACAUUGAAUUUGACCGAGUGCAUGAUUUACUAUAAUCGGCCGCCCAAAGAAGAAGAACGGUUCGAUCCUUUCUCGAAAUUGAAAUUUCCUUGUCUGAAGCAUUUGAUCUUCAACAAUAGUUCCAUGAUCAAGAGCAGUUACAAUAACCCUUGUAAGAUACUAAGAGUUUCUGGACUUCAAUUGCUUAGCUUGAAACUCUCCCUUUAUGGAGUCUACAACCUUGAAAUAUCCGCUCCCAAACUCGAGUCAUUCGCUCUUUGCGUCGUAGGGAAACCCAUGGGGUUCCCGGAGCUGACUCUUCCUUCCCUCAAACAUGCUGAUAUUUAGAUUACCUGCGACUCCUCCGAGCUCACCGAAAACAGCGAGAAAUCGGUUGCACAAAAUUUCGUCUCGUUGUUUCAAGGAAUCUCUAACGUGAAAUCUAUAAGGUUGCGUUACUGGACCAUCAAGGUACCUACCCAACUUUUCUAAAGUACCAUCCUAGCUACGACAUUACAAGUUAUACUCAGAUCGAUCGAUAUUAACGUUACAUUUUUUCAUGGAUUUUUCUCGUAUGUGCAGGCACUCCUUAGAAUUUAUGGAUCUCUGGAACAUCAGCCUACUACUGCCUUUACGAAGCUGGAGCAUUUGGAUGUGCAGUAAAAACAUUACCUCGCAGGAUUUUCAAUUACUUUCUUAAAGGAUGCUUGGUUACAAAGCCAAUUAUCAAGCAUUCAGAAUGGCCUUGUUCAAAAAUUAAAUCCCACUUAUUAAAACAAAAAAUUUAGGUUACAAUAUUCAUUUGUACUUUUGUCGCUUUUUUUCAUUCUCAUCUCUCAUUUGACUCCUUUCUUGUGAUAUCAGACGUUAGUAUAAAUUGAUAUGUGGUUUGUUUUUAAGAUUUAGAGUAGUAAGUGAUUUGGGGUGAUUUUGAUUGAUCGAAAUAUUAUGUUUGGUUAAUAAAAAUUAAUGGGAUUUGAAAAUGAUUUUAAAUGACUUUGUGGUCCCCUAUGUGAUUUGAUAUCCACUCCAUAGAUAUAGUAUUUAGCAAAUUUGAAGUGAUUUGAGUAGGAAAUUACAAAAAGACACAUAUUUUGGAGAGAAUUAAAAUCGCCCCUUAUUUCUCAAUUGGACUCAUAAAUGAAAACAAACAAGUGACCAAAUCAAAAAGAUUCACCGUCUUAGGACGGAUGCCCUAGCGCCUCCUAUCUCUUACUCCUUCAGUCAAUACCUAGCCACUAUCUACAAUGAAUCCGACAACACCCUCCUCAUCCAACCCCAACUCUGAAUCCUCCUCACCUCCGCCGCAUCGUGCUCCACCAACACCAACAUCAACGAUACCUCGAUCGUCUGGAGGCCUGACUGGAAUCUGGGGAUCACGACCACCAUCCUCGUUGUGUGGCGGUCCACCAGCGACGAGCCGGAGUGAAGCCGGCAGGGCAGGCCAUCGGUUCCGCUCACGAGCUGGAUGUCCGACACAUGAUCGACAACAGACCAUGGUUCUUCGACAAACACAUUCUAUUAUGCACGAACUGAUCCAGGGAGAAGAACCAGGGAAAGUUCCGCUCCAAAAAGUCGAUUUGAGGAUCCAGGUCCAUAACCUGCCGCACAGGUUUUUUCCAGAACCGGUGAGACGAGGGUUGGCCGACUCUGCGGGCUCCAGCGUGCCUUACGAUGAGAAGAACAAGAGGUUCUCCCCCACAGCCAACAUGCGCGUUCUGACCACCUUGGACAUACACAAACCGCUGCUGAAGGAGAGGCCAGUAUGCCUUCACGAUGGUACAAAAAUCAUAUGUAAGUAUAAGUAUGAACGGUUGUCACCUUUUUGUUACAUUUGUCGUUUUAUGGGACAUGUUAAGAAGAAGUGCCCACUCCGUUUCCAAUUCCCGAAGACCGAAUUCCCUUUCUGCUGAGAUGACUCGAUCAAGGCACUGUCAUGGAGGGAGCUCAAAGUACAACAAACACCCCAAUGGAGUAUCUCUACUAAGGCUUCUCAACACCGGAUCCAACCGGAGAUGCAAGUGGAAGACACAACAAUCGUGAAGACACAGAGAGAUUUGGAAAUAGAGAUAUCCACGAGGAACACGGGGCAAACGAGCAGUGAAUGAGGAAUUAUAUUAUUGCUGUGUACACACAGGAGGAGGACCCCGAGGAGGAAAGGAGGCUGGCGGAGUGUAAGCGUCGUCGCUGUGAACUGUACAGCUCGGAGCCUAUGAACACAACAAAUACUACAGUGCUGAAAGCACAAGAAGUCCUUGAGAAACUCGGUUUGGGAGUAAUUCCAAAACUCACAGCCGGCCAACCAUAGACGGCCGGUUAGCCUAAAUCGGUGGAAGGAUAGGAAUGCCAUAAUACUAGCGAUGUAGUGAAUGCAAUAAGGACAUGUUGUCCAAUAGAUAGGUUUUACGGGUGUUUUUAACGUUGCAUCUUUGAAUUUGACUUUCUUGUGUCGUUGAUCACGUUGUCGCUUAUCCGUGGACAGGAGAGAAAGAAUUGAGGUUCUUGUGUACAAGGACCCACGAUCCAUACAGUUUUGCUUGUGAUGAUAGCAUCUCCGGUUGGACACUUGUACAAUCGAUUUGUUGGUUUAAAAAGAAUUGAAGUGGGAAUUUGUCAAAAAAAAAACAAGUGACCAAAUCAACCGAAAAACACCAAGACAAAAUCAUUCCUCAAAUAUAAAAUUCAAAUAACAGUUCUUCAAGAUCAGCUACUUAAAUAGGCGAAAACCCUAAUCCAAUUUAUACGUAGUCCUCAUCGUCUCUGAUUCUUAUUAUGCUCUUUCUAGGGUUUCCAGCAAUUGAAAAUAUCAGGAAUCAAAGUCAUGAUCAAUCUUUCUACCCAAAACAAGAGAGACGUCACUAGCAAUAUUCUUACCGACAGGUUAAGCAAUCUUCCCGACUCGAUUAUUCACCACAUUCUUUCGUUCCUCGACACCAAAUUUGGCGUCCAAACCUCCGUAUUGUCCCGAUCAUGGAAGCAUGUAUGGAAACAUAUCCACACCCUAAAUCUGCACGCAGAAUCGUUCCCAAACACAUCGAGUUUCGUCAAGUUCGUGGACAAGGCUCUGCUUCUACGCUACGAACUCAAUCUCUGCAAGGUUAGAUUCAUUGUCGACAACGCGUAUGCAAGCCGCUGGAAUAAGAUGACGCUUGAGGAACGAGCAUGCGAGGUAAUCAGAUAUGCAUUGUCUAAUCACACUCGGCAUUUAGUCGUCGUCAACCCGGAUAUCAAUUGGAAGUUCUCCGAAUUGUUUAUCUUGGACAUGACUUGCAAUCUGGAAACCCUAGAAUUAAGACGUAUCACCCUUGAUGAAAGAUUCGGAUCUUCCGCUGCUGGUUUCCCAGUGCUGGCGACUUUGAAUUUGAGCGAGUGCUCGAUUUCCUUCUCCUCCGUUGAAGAAGGGUUUGAUCCUUUCUCCAAAUUUCCUUGUCUGAAGCACUUGACCUUCAACAAUAGUUUCAUCCAGGGGAAUUACAGUCACCAGUGUAAGAUAUUUAGAGUUUCUGGACUUCAAUUGCUUAGCUUGAAACUCGGGCUUUAUGGAGUCUACAAGGUCGAAAUAUCCACACCCAAACUCGAGUUAUCAACUCUCCGCAUCGUUGGGAGACCUAUGGCGUUCCCGGAGCUGACUCUUCCUUCCCUCGAACAUGCUGAAAUUCGGAUUAACUGCGACUUUUUCGAAUUUCUAACGUGAAAUAUCUAACGCUGCAUCAAUGUACCGUCCAGGUAUGUACACCACGUUUCUAAUAUACCAUCCUAGUUCCUGCAUUGCAAGCUAUACGUUUUUCAUUGAUGUUGCUCUAUACAUGCAGGCACUCCGUAAAAUUUACGGAUCUCUGGAACAACAACCUACUACAAUUGCGUUCACGAAACUCGAGUGUUUGAAUGUGCCGCACAGAAGAAUACCUUACAAAAUUGCCAAUUAUUUCCUUAAAGGAUCGUUGGUCACAGAACCAAUCUCAGGUAUUAACCUUCUGCUACAAUUCACAGGUACUUUGAAUAGUAUAUCUAACACUUCCAUGGCUGUUUUCUCACCUGUUAUUUGACUCUGUUUCUCUCAUACAUUCUUUUAUUUGACUGAUCAAAUUAUUUGUGGCACAGGCUUUGAUUCACUAUGAUAUGGGUUACAAACUUACAAUCCAAGGCCAGUUUGAUUACCAAUUCCACCAUUUGGAUCGAGAGAGAUGUGUUGGAGAUGAACAAUUUUUGUAUGAUUAAUAAUAUCAAUGCAGUUUUAUAUUCAAUUCAAUUAUAUCGGACACAAACCAUCAUAUGAAUUGUUGGGUUGUUUGUUUUGUUAUUUGAUUAUGAGGUCGGAUAUUCAGUAUAAUGAGAAAGCAGUACUGCGGAUAGGGCUGUUUAUGAACUGUGGAGCCGAACUUUACUGUACUUAGACUUGACUCGUUAAUUUUUAGACGAGUUCAAACUUGACUCGAGCUAUAAAAUUUUGGCUUGUGUCGAGUUUGAGCUUAUUCGAGACUGACUCAUUAACUACCAUUGUCAAGCAAAACUCGAGCUCAACUUGAACUCUACUAAUUAAAACUCAUAAUGAGAGUUCAAUUUGAGUCGCAUUUGAAAUUUAUACCCUAAAAACUAUUGAUAAGUCAAUCUAAAAAAUAAGCUAUCCUAAAAUUUGUAAGUUUAUACAUUUUUUUUCUUGUAUAUGUCAUCUAAAUCAACACAUGUUACAAUAUUGAGUCUACUGGCGAGUCAUAUUAUCGAGUUAAUUAGUAUUCGAGUUGGCUUCCGAGUACGAGCCUAUCGAGUCGAACAUACCCUGACUCAACCUUGACUCGUUUGAAAUCGAACCAACUCACAAACGAGUUUUUCCCGAAUCAAACAUCGAGUUGCUCACGAGUGACUUGGUUCAUCAAAACCUUAGGUGGACUUGUGGUUAGUCUUUUGUCAUUUUAAAAUAAAAUCAUGAAAAAUACGAUGAAAUUGUAUACAAGAUGCAUUUACAUUUUUAGACGGUGAUCGAAUUUCUGAUUUCAGACAGUCACUUUGUAAUUAGUAUAACGAUGUUUAAUCUCUUUUUCCAGACUUGUACUAAUCAGUGGAUACCUUAUCAUAAAUGUACUUACAAGUGGUGAGGUGAAAUAGUGUCGACUGUAAUUGGCUCAUUAUUUCGAAUUAAACUUGCCUUUGGUUUUUAUGUUUUUGAAAGCCGAUAGUCUUUAAAAUACCUCACAGGGGAGGUAUAUUUGAAAUACCAUAAUAUUUCGACUAAUUUGAUCUUUUCGCUUGUCAAAUACCACAUUGAAUCAACUCAUUAAUCAAACAAGAUAAUUCCCACAUCACAAUCCUUGGACCUUUUAAAUACCACAUUCUCAAAUAACGCAAUCAUUUAGCUCUAAAUUAUCACAUGCAAAAUAACACAUCCAAACGAACCGUAAAAAAAGGGCAACCAUAACCUUAACCGACUGCAAACAACAUACUUGACCACAAAAAUGGAACCAAACAGUAGUGAGAUGAAAGUGGGAUCAAGAAAAGAAGAAGAAGAAGAAAGCUCCUCAGAGUAUGUUCGACCUUUUUCUCUACAAUGUUUUCUUCCAUACAUUCGUUCAGAAAUUGGAACGACGGACGAAAAAACUCAUCACAGGAGCUAUUAUUCCUUCUUCCUCAAUCUCAUUUACAGGAACACUUAGAAAAUAGUGUUCUGGAAAUGGAAGAGACACGUACAGGGCAAUCUUAGGGCAACAAAGAACACCAAAAGUGAUAAGAGAAGGGUUUUAGAUUGGUUCAGUCGAGUACAAUAGAGGGGGGAGGGGGGGGGGGUGAGGGGUAAAAUCACGCCGUGCANNNNNNNNNNNNNNNNNNNNNNNNNNNNNNNNNNNNNNNNNNNNNNNNNNNNNNNNNNNNNNNNNNNNNNNNNNNNNNNNNNNNNNNNNNNNNNNNNNNNNNNNNNNNNNNNNAUAGUACGGCGGGGGGGAGGGAGGGGGGGGGGGGGGGGGGGGGUAGAGGUAAAAGCACCCACGUGAGACCUGACUCAGGGAGAAACGAGAAAACUGAAAAAGCAUUAUAACCUGCAAGCAAAAUGAUGACCAUUCCAACUACUAACCUUCUCUGUUGAAAUCUCAAGCCAGAAGGCGGGCCGGGGGGGGGUGGGGGUCUCUUUUGGAGGUCUCCUUGUUUCCUUCCGUUUUGUUUUGUCUCCUUUAAGAUCUGUUCUUCUCCCUCCUAAAACUCCCUUCUUCAGUUCACACACCAACCCGUUAUUAAUGGGUUUCUGUCGGUCCCUCUCUACUACCCCUCACGUGCACAUAACUACAACCCUCCUGCAUUUCCUCCAUUGUCAACAAGACAACCUUUCAAAGACAAAGUUGGGUUUUACCUCUGCUUACGAUAGCCCACCGAGUCAUCAACUAUGUUAUGGUCAUGGUCCAGUAUUCUACGUCCUGCUCUCGAACAACAUUCAUACAAACCAAUGGUAAGAACAAAAACAGCAGUGAUAUUAUUAGGUCAUAGAACCAGGCAUUAAUACUAAGAACAGUAUCUAAUUGCUCCAAGUCAAAAUGGCAGCUGAGUAAGUUUCUGAAUAAAAAACAGAGCAUUUCCCAAAAAUUUCUAAUGAGGAAGAAAUGUCAUUUCACUACCCUCUCGCAAUAACUGGCAUGUCUGAACAUAAGUAUUAAACGAAUAUAGAAGGGAGUAAACGUUAAUAAAUGUGUCCACCUAGCCAAUACGAUCCAUUUGUCGCUUGUGCAACAAAUCCAGGAGCCAAAAAUACAAUGCUGGUAAUACAAAGUAAAGCAAUGUUAACCUGUUUACCAGGAUGUUACAGAAAACACAGAAAAGGCCAGUUCCACUUUUUGACUACCUAAAAAAAGGGCUCAGCACUCAGCCAGGGUAUCUGAGAUAAGAGCUACUCUUCUCACCAGUUAUGUACCGACUUCAACAGUAAAAAAAAGGAUAUAAAAGUAUAAAGCCAACUCAUCACUAGUAACGCCUACAAAACGAUUCCUAGAAAACACCACUUCAAAAGGAAGGAGGAUGAAAGAAUGAGAAGGAACUCCUCAUAAACAGAGCUAAGGUGCAGAAUCAAGUUGCACGAGCAGCAGAAGAGAUAGAAGCAGAUAUAGAGUCAAAAACAUUCAUGGAAUUAUCAACUAGCCAAAAGAGAAAGGUAGCUUCAUCAACUAAAAGGCACACCGAAAGCCAGCCAAAGGAUGGGGUCAUGAAGGCAGCAAAGGGAAGAUUUUACGUCAUCCGCCGCUGUAUUGUAAUGCUGCUCUGUUGGAAGGAGAAUGAAGACAAAUGAAACUGGUAAGCAUGUACAGCAGAAACUGCAAUCUCAUUAUACCCCAUAUGUAUGUCUGUAGCAAUCCUUUAGAGAUGAUAGCAAAACAGUGCUUGAAGAGGGAUUCAAAGAGAAACUUGUAUCAGAUGUUGAAAAGCAAUGAGAUACGAGUAACAUCAAAAUCAUUAAGUUUACUAUCUUCUUUCUUUCCAUUUCACAGAAACAUGUGCUAUUUCUGAGGCAAUCCCUCAUGUCCUGAGAACAACAUACGUCAAUCAUACCAAGGAUGCGAUCAUAUAGUUUCAUCAUUUGCACAUGCCAACCAUCUGACAGCAAGAAAAAUUACUCGAAAGGAUCGUGAAUGAAAUACGCAAUCUCUACCGUUAAACUUAGGAGACCAAACUACUUCCAUCCCCAGUCCCCAUCCUUCUCUCAGCAACAAAACUGUUUCAACCAAUGGCAUAAACAGUGAGACUAAUCCGACGAAUCAAGACUGCAAUGUAUUGCAACAUGUUAACUGACUUGCCUAGACACGCGAGCAAGAAAAGUAACGUUAUAAAAAUCAGAAGAAUUAUCAUCAGUAGACAAGCUGUAAGAUAUUAAUGCACCAUCCAUUGGAAGACCAACUCACUGUCAUAGUUGCUCUAGUCCUUUUCACCCUUGGGAAAAAAGUUCCCUUGAAUAAUACCCAAAACUUUGACCACCCCCACCCUAUAAGGACUACAAUCCACUUGUCAGCAAAUCCAUAACAGAUUAUCACUGACAGGCUAGCCAGCACUAAAUGGUAUGGUGGGGGAAGGGGUCAACAGUUCACAUUGCAGAUGCCAAGAUAUGCUAGUUUUGAUUAUCACAUUUGCUUUAUGUCUUCGAUAACCGAGCAUCACCUUUGUUAUGUACUUAUUCAUAAUCCAACGACAUAAAAGCCACAUACUUGAUAAUCAUAAAAGUCUAGACAAGAGCUACAUACUUGAUACAGCCUUUGGUGCACAUUAUAGGCCCCAUUCCUAAACACGCUAUGCAGGCAAAACAAUGUCUUCAAAGCCAAAUUCAGAAAACGUGAAUCAUGAGCCAGAACGGUUUAAUACACUCUGCCAGAACAUAAAUCUCAAUAACAAAAUAGCAUUAACUCCUCAUGAACAAUCCCACUAGAUCAAACGAAGCAAGAAAUACUAAAGGCAAUUUCUGCAUAUAAAGAAAAUAAUCUCAAGUGCCCAUAUAUCAGGAACAGAAUUCAUAUACACAAAGCAAAAAAAGAAGACACAAUUAACAAUCACAAUAACAGCUUGUUUUUUCAUUUGAACAUCCAAGUCCAAAUCCAAAUUACAAGGUGGGGGAUACAGGGGUAAAGGAAACAUCCAGUCAAAUGCCAAGAAGUACCGAGAUCAUCUCCGUCUGAUUGACGAGAUCAAAUCAGACCGGGAGCUCGUCGACGGUGCUGUGAGAAGAGGUGGAGUGAAGUCUGAGAGGGCGAACAUCGCCCUCAUCGUCAUCGUCGUCGAUAUCGGCGGUUUGGAUGUUGACGCAGGAGAAUCGCUCCAGAGAGGAGAAAAAGGCGGAUAUCACGGUGGUGCUAACCCAGCUGGCCAUGUUGUUUAUGCUGUCCACCGAGACGAUGCUCGCGGUGUCGUCAUUGGCUUCUUUGUUUUCCAUGGGUGGAUCAGAAGGAAUUGGAGGAAAAUUUUGGGGAAUUUUGGGAGAUUGUUGGGGCAGGAUUUGGAAACCCUAAUUGCUGGAAAAUGAAGAAAGAUCAACGUUGGCCGAUGAGCGAGAAUCGAGUCCCAUGUUUGAGAAAGGGUUUCAAGGCUUUUCCGUCUUUUUAUUCGUUUUUUUCUUCUGUUUGUUUCGUAUAGUAAUUUAAAUUCAGAUUUCAGUUACUUUUUUAAAUUUGCUCUUUGUUAGCAAUUAUUAGUUUAUCUCAAAUUUAUUAAAUUCACCAAAAUUGUCCCUCUAUUUUCCUGGCUAUUUUUAUUUAAAUGUAUCUGUAUGUGAUAAUUAUAGAGAGGAAAUUACAUUAGAUAGAAAAUUAUAUCGAACAAAAAAAUGUUGUAUAAAAGAGAAAAAAAAAGUUAGUGAUAUCUAGAUAAUAAAUAGUAUUAGGUGUUAUUAAAUAGACGAUAUAAUUUUUUACAAAUAUAAAUAAAAAUAUAAAAAAUAAAAAAAUAAGAAUGAAGAGGUCUAUGCGAUGUCUUGAAUACCAUAAUAUUUAAGAUAUUGUAAUAUUGAAUAAGAUUGGUAUUGAAUAAAAAAUUAUAAAUAUUUUUAUUUGACAUGAAAUAUAUAGUGGAAUUAUUUAAUUAUAAAAUUAUCAUUUUCAUGACCCUCUUUUUUUCUAUGAUCUUCCUCUUUUUAUUCCUUUUUCCUCUGUGCUUCAAUCAAUUUAAAAAAUAGAGACUUCACAAUUUUACUUUUUAAAAAAGAAUUGUGUUUGUGAAAUUGUGUGCUGAAAUUGUGUACUCUUUUUUUGUUUCCCUCAAUUUUUGCAGGAUCAAGAAGAGGAUCAUCAUCCCAUCAUAAAUUCUAUGGCAAGCUACGCUGCAACGUUCAGCUCCUGUUGGUUCGGAUAUCUGGUGUAGUUGUAGUAUACCGGCGGUGACGCUAGAGCCUGCGAGUAAUUACCGUUGUAUUUGUAAUUGGGUGUUGGGUAUUGGUAUUCACCCGAUAGGUAUGGAGGAGGGUAGAUGAUAGGAGGGUGUUGCUACUCUUGCGGGAAGGUUGGUGUUGGUGACGGCGGCUAUGGCUUUCACUGUUUGAUCGAGUUAUUCUAUCCCAGCAGCCAAUCACUCUUCGCUCUAUACAGAUUCGAAUCCAUGAAAUCAGAGAGAAGGCAACGAGAUAGAUUAUUGGAAACAAAUCAGAUAGAAUCUUUGAGAUAGAAGAAAAGCAGUUGUCGAUUUUGUCGAUUAAUAAGGGACAUUGAAGAACAUAUCGUCGUCGUCGAUUUAUUAAAGCAGAGAGGAAGAUGUCGCCAAUCUACUCUAGUCGUUGGAUUUAUUGGUCACCCAAUUUUUCUCUUCUCCAAAAUUCUUGCGGCAACUGAAAAAACGAAGAGAGAGACAAAGGUUGAAGUUGUGGGUAUAAUAAUGACAGACACCCACAUAAUGACGUGUCUCACCAAAUACAUGGGUAUUUUGGUCCACGCGAAAUGAUAUUAAAGGGUGGUAUUAGAAACUCUUUAUUUCGAAGAAUUUCUAAUAUCGUGAGUUUUGUGAUGUUGAUAUAUCGAAUACUAUGGUAUUUGCGCUCCAAAACACAAAGAUAUUUCGAAUACCAUGGUAUUGGGUGAUAUUGAAUUUAAUAUCACUCGUACCAAACGAUCCCAAAAUAUGUUGCAACAUUCAUGAAGAAGAUGACCCACCAUUAUAUCAACGGAAGAGGUGGCGCUUUUCAUUAACGUGGAGUCCUACGUGUCACUUUCCAAGGACGUUAAGCCUUAUGUAACACUAAAACGAUCCUCUGUUAUGUUAAACGGUUAAUGUAAAUGUUGAUGAGAUUCCGUUAAUUAUGUUUAAAAUGGUGCAACAAAAUGUAUUUUCGAAAUUAUGUACCAAAUCGUAUAUUUUUGGAAUAGAUUGGGUUGUUUUAUUAAAAAAAAUUUCUUGUCAAAUUUAUGUUUCUUUAUUCUUCCAAUUUCCCUACAGGUUUUCGAGAGCCAUCAACAAGAAAGAAUAAGAAGAAGAAGAAUGCACGCAGCAGAAGCAAGUUGUAGAUUUCCGGGGGAGGCGACAGAAUAAGCAAUCUCCAAGACUCCAUUCUUCACCAAACCCUCUCCUUCAUGACAAAAAGUCAGCCGUUAAAACCUCCGUCUUGUCCAAGCAGUGGAAAAUCCGCCUGGAAAAAUGUUCAUGCUCUCAAUCUGGUUUCAAUGAAUAUUCGAGGUACGAAAGGUUCGUCGACAAUGUCAUGUCCCUCCGCCAUUCUCUUCAUCUCAGUAAGGUUUUGCUAUUAUGGAACCUAAGUGCGUGCCCUGUCCAUCCUGAUGAGUUUAGUCUCAUCAAAAGGCUUGUCCAAUAUGCUGUCUCUCAUGGUGCUCAAGAUUUCAGCAUUCGACUGAGGAUUAAUUUGUACCUCCCUCUUCACGAAUUGUUUGACUAGCUGGACGAGCCAUUCUCUCAAUUUCCCUGUCUGAAAGAUUUGUUCUUGGAUGAUUGCUCAUGGUUGGUAAGCGAAGAUGAUCAUCGGAUUAGGGGAUCGAGGAUAUCCGGAUUUGAGCUGGUUAACUUGAGUAUCAGUCGUAUGAUUGUGUGGAAUUUUAAACUAUUUGCACCUGAACUCCAAUCUUUGGUAUUUUGUUCCGUGGAUUUCACAGAAUUCAUAGAGCUAACCAUCCCGUCCCUCCUUCAUGCUGAUAUUGGGUGCCGUCUUUUCAAUGCGGAUGAUGAUAUUGUCAUCGAAUCUGUUUCUCAUGUUCUGUGAUCUACAUAACGUGGAAUCGCUGAUGCUGGGCGACGAAAUCAGCGAGGUACACGCUUGUGUGUGCUUUACUACUACCAGGAGAUCUUUGUUUCUAUAUUGAGAUGGGUUCUACUUUGUGCAGAUUGUACUCAGGAUGUCAAAGUUUCUAGAGGAACAUCGUUUUCCUUUUACAAAAUUGAAGAAGUUAAAUUUGGAGUUCGACUCCAGCUAUGAUAUACCUUAUAAGGUUCUGAAUCGUUACUUUCUUAAUGGAUGUUCUAAUGCUAGCCUAAAUAUCCAGAGUAUGGAGGAUUCUGUAAUGAUUGAGCGUUGAUAUAACUUGUUAAUUGCAUAUUUUCUUCUUGUUAUUCUGUUCUUGUAAUGUAAUGCCCUUUUCCUACUUUCUGGAACCCAGUCAGUUGGCAGAGCUUUCCUCUGGUUUAUUUAACCUGCUGAGUUCUUGUUCUUUUUCUUUUCGAGAUUUUGAUGAAUAACAGAACAAAAUCGCAGCAAUGCAAACUUGUACUAUGCAACCAAGAUGGCCUAUGCUUGCUUGCUGGUAUGUUAUCUGUUCAUCUGUAUCAUAUGUUUAAUUCUUUCUGUAACUUAAGAAAUGAUGUUUACUUUGCACUUGUCGAUCCAAACGGAUUGGGUAUAAUUUGUCAUUUUCAAAUUUUAACUAUUAUUGAAGAUUGUAACAGUUUGUAUCAUCUCAUAUUAAAUCUGUAUUGCCGAUCACAGAUAACAUAUUUCUCACCCAAAAUAAUUUGGGUUGAUUCAACUCAGAGUUUCUUUUCAAAAAAAGAUUCAACUCAGAGUACUCUGUAUAAAUUAAUAAAUUUCCAUCCGUCACCUUUCAACAAGUUCCACUAACAGCCUUGUAUUGAAUUAAAUCACUAUUGAAACUUGAGUUUCAACCAAUGAAACAAAAAGAAGAUUUAAACCCCCAGUGAAGUAAAUUUGAACGGUCAUCAUGCAAACAGAGUCGUUGGACUUCCCAGUCUUUUAAUGCAAACAAUCAUUGGACUUCCCAAAUAAACUCUUGAGAAACUCUAUUAAAAGCCAUACACAUUCAUUCAUUGUCCUGCUAUAUAUAUAUAUAGUUUCUGUUUCUAAUCUUUCAACGUUUUUCUCAUUGUGUUCUGCGAGCUAUGACAGAAAAACAGGAACAAACAAUAAGAGCAAGAGCAGCAAGCAGCUAGGAUGGCUCCCGAAGGAGUUGACAGAAUAAACAAUCUCCCAGAAUCCAUGCUUCAGCACAUCCUCUCCUUCCUCAACACUAAAUCCGCUGUUCAAACUUGUGUAUUGUCCAAGCAGUGGAAAUCCACCUGGAAACAUGUGCAUUCUCUCAAUCUGGAGCUGAACUUUGAUGAAUUUUUGAGGUACGAAAGGUUUGUUGACAAUGUCUUGUCCCUUCGCCAUCCCCUUCAUGUUAGCAAGGUUUGUUGGUACACAUAUGCCUACUCUCACGGUCCUAUUGGUUGCGAGUUUAGUCUGUUCAGAAGGGUUGUCCAAUAUGCUGUGUCCCAUGGUGCUCAACAUUUUGACUAACAACCCUGUAAUAUUACUGAACCCAACAUAUCUCUUCUCUGAUUGUUUGACUACACCUGUGACACUGUAAGAACUCUACAAUUGGGUGGCUUUACCUCAAUCAUCUAUUGGCCUGUUCAGCAUUCCGGUUGCUAUCAAUGUUAAAGCUAUGUAAUUGUGGGUUCUUAGUCUCAGCUGCUGGCGAGCUUGUUGAGCCUUUUUCUCGGUUUCCCUGUCUGAAGGAUUCGGUCUUUGAUUAUUGCUUGUGGUUGGGGGUAAGUCAAGGUGAUGACCAAAAUGUGAGAUUGAGGGUUUCCGGACUUGAGCUGGUGAACUUGACUCUCUCAAAUAUAAAUGUGAACUUGCACCCAAACUCAAAUUAUUGAGAUUGUAUUUGGACACAUACAUGCAAUAUUCAGAGCUAACGCUUCCUUCCCUUGUUCAUGCUGAUGUUCGGAGCAGUAAUUGGCAUUCAAUGUAUGAGGUUUAUGAUAUUGACAUAGAGUCUCUGGUUUACAUGUUCCAUGGCUUACAUAACGUGGAAUCUUUGUCACUAUGUGGUGAUAUCUGCAAUGUAAGUACAUCUGUAAGAUUUACUUUUUCAGUUUCUCUAGCUGUGAACUUGUUUUGGUAUAUUGAUUUGGAUUCUAUGUAAUUUGUGCAGGCAGUCCGUACAAAUUCCAAGUUUCUAGAGCAACAGCCAUGUCCUUUUAUGGAACUGAAGAACUUAAAUAUAGAGUUUGACUCUAACUACGGGAUACCUUACAAGGUUUUGGAUAGUUAUUUUCUUAACGGAUCUUCUGAUGCUUCCCUAAACAUCCAGAUACGAGAGGAAUAUGAAUAUUGGGGAGAAGAGAUUAUUUAAUAUUUAUGAUAUUGUAUUGUUACUAUGCUGAAACGAUUCUUAAGAGUUAAAGCUAAAUUGAAGAGGUCAACGAUAUAGAGUAGUCCAUGGUGUCUGCAAUCAGAACUGUUAGUUGCAGACAAAACUUCUGUUCAUGAAAUGCUAUUUCACUAUCUUUUUAAUCAUCUGCAAUAUUUCGUGGAUGUAAUGUAAUGCUCUGUUUCUUAUUUCUGAAACCGACUCAGUAGGCAGGGCUUUUAUCUGCUUUAAUUUAACCGGCCGAGCUCUUGUUCUGUUUCUUUGUACAUUGAUGCUAUCUCUCUUAGUAACGAAGUUUCCGAUAUCAAAUUUUCAUUAGCUGUGGUAGAUUAGAUAAUUAGAUAAUGUAAACUUGUACUAUGCAACUGUGAUGGCGGCCUAUGUUUGCUUGCAGGUAUGCGUUGUCCCUGCAUAUGCAUCAUGGAUACACUCUUUAGAAUCAUCAUAUGGUUUGUUCCUCUUUGUAACUGGUAGACUUAAGGAAGUAUGUACCGGGUCGUUGAAUCUCCGAUUGUUUUGAUGGUCGAAAGUGUAACCUCCAUGCUCAACCAAGACAUGAAGCUGAUCAAGUGGGUAUGGAGCUUUUCCUUCCCAGGAACAAUGACUAUUUUCCAAUGUGUUGUUCAGACCUUCCUUGAUAGGAUUUGCUAAUUUGUUAUAUACCUUUCCUACACAUUGGCGUUGCAAUUCAGUAUCGAAGAUUGUAACCAUUCUUCUUUUUAUUUCUAUGGUUGGUUGAAACUCAAUCAAUGAAAUAAAAAGAAGAUUUGAACCCCCAAUAAAAGUAAUGUGAACCGUCGUCAUGCAAGCAGUCGUUGGCCUUCUCCAACAAAUUCAAAAACUCCAUUAAAAUCGAGAUAGAGAUUCAGUGCCCUGCUAUAUAGUUUCUGUAUCUAAUCUUUCCAUUUUAUCUCGGUGUUUUGUGAGCUAUGACCAAAAACAGCAACAUCCAGCUAGAGAUGACAGCCGGAGGAGGAGUUGGCAGAAUAAGCAAUCUACCAAGCUCCAUCAUUCACCACAUCCUCUCCUUCCUUGACACAAAAUCCGCCGUUCAAACUUGUGUAUUGUCCAAGCAAUGGGAAUCCACCUGGAAACAUAUUCAUUCUCUCAAUCUGCAGAACGUUUACUUCAAUGAAUAUUCGAGGUACGAAAUGUUUGUUGACAAAGUCUUGUCCCUUCGCCAUCCCCUUCAUGUUAGCAUUAUUUCUAUCGGUCCAUGGGGAGCGAGUUUAGUUUGCUCAGACGGGUCGUCCAAUAUGCUGUGUCCCAUGGUGCUCAACAUUUCAACAUUCAACCCAUUAAUAUUAUUGCACCCGAAACGUCUCUUCUCGAAUUGUUUGACUACAUCUGUGACACUGUAAGAACUCUACAAUUAGGAUGGCUUUACCUCUGUCGUCAAUCUGAUUUGUCUGCAUUCCAGUCGCUAACCAUGCUAAAGCUAUAUGGUACUCAGUUCUCAGUCUCAGCAGCUGGCGAACUCUUUGAGCCUUUUUCUCAACUUCCUUGUCUCGGUGAUUUGGUCUUGAAUAGUUGUUUGUGGAAAAGAGUUAUGAAGGUAAUGACGAAACAGUGAGGUUCAGCUCUUCCGACGGAACUGUGAGAUUCAGGGUUUCCGGACUUGAGUUGGUUAACUUGACGCUCUCAGAUAUUAAUGUGACCAAGUUAGAAAUAUUUGCACCCAAACUCUAAUCCUUCAGUUUGAAUUUGGACAAAUACAUGGAAUUCUCAGAGCUAACGCUUCCUUCCCUCGUUCAUGCUGAUAUUCGGAGUAGUUAUUGGCGUUCUAUGUAUGAUGAUUAAAAUGUUGACAUACAGUCUCAGGUUUGCAUGUUCCAUAGUUUACAUACUGUGGAAUCUUUGUCGCUAUGUGGUGAUAUCUGCAAUGUAAGUACAUUUGUAAGAUUUACUGUUUCAAUAUUUAUAGCAGAUGUGAACUUGUUUCGUUAUAUUCAUUUGGAUUCUACUUUCUGCAGGUAGUCUCUAGAGAUUCUAAGUUUCUAGAGCAACAACCUUGUCCUUUUACAAAACUGAAGAAGUUAAAUAUAGAGUUUUGGAUAGUUAUUUUCUUAAUGGAUCAUCUGAUGCUUCCCUAAACAUCCAGAUUCGGGAGGGAGAUGAAUAUUGAGGAGAUGAGCUUAUUUGAAUUUUUAUGAUAUGAUAUUGUUACUGUGCUGGGGGCAGAGCUAAUUAGUUUAUAAUAGCUGAAGAGAUGCUUAAGAGUUGAAGUUUAGAUUGAAGAGGUCAACAACCAUGGUGUCUCCAAUCAGAAAUGUUACUUGUAGAAAUGCCAUUUCACCAUCUUUGUGAAUAUCAUGUCGAUAUAACUUUUCAAUUACAUAUCAUAAUUUUUAUUCUUGGCAUUCCAUGGAUGUAAUGCAAUUGUCUUGUUGUUUCUGAAACCGACUCAGUUGGCAAAGCUUUUAUCUGGUUUAUUUUAACCUGCCAGGCUACCUGCGGCCGAAAUUUGCCGCCGGCCGGGAGGCUUGUCGGCCAAAUUUUCGGUCAGAUCGGGUAGUCUUUCGGCCGAAUUUUUUUUCUAUUUUUCAACGAUCUCCGUUAAUAUUUUUUCAGGUAAUCACAUUCAUCACAUGGUUUUAACGUUCAUUGAAUGCACUAACUCGUCAUGAGCAAUUCGGUAAGUGGUUGCUAAUUCUGUUAUAGAAAUAAUUUAAUUAAUACGAAAUUGUAUAGAUAAUUGAUAAAUGAAGCGUAUGUUUUGUGUGUUUAUAAUGUAGGGAGAUUCAUAAGUGAGUAAGAGUGACGGAAUCAAUUACACCGAACAAUUUUUAUCCGACAAUGUUUAUGAUACUGCUGAGGAAGCUUGUGAAGCUUCAAAGCGAAUUGCCCAGACGCUUAAUUUCAAGUUGACUAAGGGAUCCAACAAAAUAAACAAGGCAUAGCGAGAGUACCAUGUGUAUCUGUAUUGCUCUCGUAGACCUGCUCGUAAAUCCUCAUGUUCCGACCCGCCGAAACGGAUUACGAAGAUGAAGAAGUGUGACUGCCCCUUCAAACUGGCAGUGAGGUGUCAGGCCGUAGGUGGCGAGUGGAAGUUCUGUAUUAACGGUGUAGGCUACACCAACAAUCCUACAAUCUCAAAAGGAUAUCACAAUUAUUUUUUGUGUCAUAUCCCGAAGCUAGUAAAAGAAAGCAAUGCACUUACGAAUGAAGAAAACAGCGAAAUCAGGGACAUGCUUGCGACUCACACACAGCCGAACAAGAUCAGGUACACUCUGAACAAGAAGUUCAAUUCUCAUCACAAUAUGAAUCACAUAUACAACGAGUCGUAAAAGAUUAGAAAAGAAAAAUUAUGAGGCAUGAGUUCGACGAAUUGGACAUUGAGAGCCGCUACACGACUGUGGUACUUUGUUCAGUCUACAGAGGAUGAUGACAAAAAUCAGGCCAACCUUUUUCUCAGUCACCCCGAGACUGCUCAGAUGUUGGGAGCUUGGUAUUACGUCAUUCUAAUUGGUUCGACCUUCAACACCAACAAGUAUAUGAAACUAGUGAUCCAGUUGACCGGCAUGACUAUGGUGCAGAAGAACUUUAGUAUCGGAUCGUACUCGUUGAGAAUGAAAAGGCUGAGACGUAUGUUUGAGUGUUGAAUCAGUUGAAAACGUUGUUGGGCAAGCGACAACCAACGACAUUUGUGACUGACAAGGAGUGCGGAUUGGUUGUUGGGUUGCGAACUGUCUUUCCGAAAACGCCAUACUUACUUUAUGUGUGACAUAUGAAAAGGAAUACCGUUGUCAAAAUAAAGUUCAUCACGAAGAAAUAGGAAGUUGAUGAGUCUUUCGUGCAUGGGAGGUGGAAUAGAGUGCUGAACGCACUUUCCCAUGAAGAAUUCCACGAAGAGUGGGAACGCAUGAUCUAUAGUGAUUGGGCCAACAUUAGAGGACUGAUCCCGUAUUUAGAUAGUGAGUGGCUACCUUAUAAGACCUAGUGAGCCCAUUGCGGCACUAAAAAGGUUUUCCGGCGACACUAAUAAGGUUUUCCAUAUUGAAAACACGAGCACUAACAGGGUGGAAUCCCAAUACUCGUCGCUGAAGUCGUGGUACAACUCUUCGAAUCAGGCUGUUGAUACCCUAUUUGAGGGCUACCAUGCUUCUAUCGAUGGACAGGUCAUUGAGAUUCAGAAGGUCUUGGAUGACUCUUGCGGAAAGGUAUUUACACACUGUUUUCGUAACUAGUUACAUAUUUCAUGUGGCAAUAACUAGUUAUUUACACACUGUUGUCGUAACUAGUUAUGCAAAAAUCACAACUUGUUUUGUUUCAUUCCGCGUAUGUAUACCGUUAGGCAUAGAAACCACCAUUUGUAUAUCUCAAUAAUCCUGUGUUGGAGUGGACAAUUGAGCUUUUGACAGAGGAGCUCUCGAAGGUUACACCAUGUAACUGUGUAGUUGAGACAACUCAUGGAAUCUCGUGCGCUUGUAGUAUGUACUCUAAGGAGGUUCGUGAGGAGGAGCUAAAAUCAUACCACUUGCUUCAGUUUUGGCGUUCAUUGUCGUACACGCGCCCGGCAGGGCACGAGAUAUGGGCUGAGCAUGAUGCUGCUGUGAUGCUAUGGACCGCAACAUUCUCGAUGGGAUGGUUCAGACUAUUUGCGCUAGAGGAGGUCGUCUAUAAGGGCGUUGAGUCGAUUAGUUCGGUCAGCAUUUCAAUCCGAGUAUGAGAGGUUCAAAGAGCCUAAGGUUGUUGAUGCUCCUAAAGGUAGACCUCGUGCUAGAAAGAUUGACAGUCGGAAUCCUUCUUGGCAUGAGCAUGCUAGUGCGCAUCGUACUCCUCCCAAAAGCAAAGCUAGCUCGACUCGAUCUACACCUUCAAAAACUUGCUCGACUCCAGGCGUACCACUUCCCCCUAGAAGUAUGUUAAAUAGUAUAUACAGUUUCUGCAAUCUCGUUUACUAUAACGUUCUUACUCAUGUUUUUUUGGCCUUUUAAAGUUUGACCGUUUCGGUAGUACAUCCUAGAGAAUUUGCACGGCGUGUUGAGUGACGUGUUUAACCCACGCGAUGAUGGACAUUGUGGAUUUAGGUGCAUUUCAUAUAUAGUCAACCCCGACGACGAUAGUCAGUAUGUGGACAUGCGGAGACAGCUAAUGGAACACGUUACGCUGAAUUGGUACGAUCUCUAUAGUAACGUGCAUAACACGUUGAACGGCGUCAUUCACCGGUUAGGUUGGCUCUGGGAGACACCAUGUGAUGAUCCAUGAUGAUUUUGAAACGUGGAUCUACUAAGGUAUGCCACUAUAUUUAACUGGACAUUCGUCGUUUUUUGACCUGGCUUGCGAGGGUACCGUAUGGGGUGACAUACCACCCGCUGACUGUAAAAGAGGGCACAAUGACACCUAGAGGUGUGUCGUACAUAGUGUGUACCGGGAACAACUAGGUUGUGCCAACUUGGGUCUUACCCACCGAGCACAACCCAGUGGUUCCCGGUACACACUAUAUAUGACACACCUCUGGGUGCCACAUUACCGCGGAUGACUCCAAACAGAGACUUACUCGGGAUGGGUAAGACCUAGAUGUUAUCAUUAAGAUAUUGCAAGAUUUACAGGCUAAUGUGUCUAGUGUCGCGGUAAUGUACGGGCUACUCAUUUUUUAGAAUUCUACGUAAAAACACAUAAAUUAAGAUUGUACAGUAUUCAUGAUCUAACUAUGUCUUUUAUUAGUAACAAAUAUGUCUUUUUUUUAGAAUUUUUCAAACAAACAGUACUUUAGUUCAUCCAACGGGCCGAACACAAUCUAAUAUAUAUAUAUAUAUAUAUAUAUCACUAUAUCAUGUUUUUAUUCUUGGUAUUCCAUGGAUGUAAUGUAAUGCUCUUUUUGUUCUUUCAUUUGGUUCAAUGAAUUCUUCUUGCCAAUGUGUUGUUGAGAAGUUAAGGAUGAACGGAAUAGACCUUCCUUUAACAUGAUUGCAGUAAAUGGCUAAUUUUUCAUAUACCUUUCUAACACAUGCAAUUCAACAUAUUAUCGAAGAUUACAACUGUUCUUUUUAUUUCGUUGGUUGAAAGUCGACCAACAAAAUAAAAAGAAGAUAUAAACCCCAGUAACGUUAAUGUGAACCGUCAACAUGCAAGCAGUAGUUGGACUUCCCCAACAAAUUCAAAAAAGUUCAUUAAAAGCCAGAUAGAGAUUCAUUGUAUACUACUAUAUAGUCUCUGUUUCUGAUCUUUCCAUUUCAUCUCAAUGACCAAAAACAGCAAAAUAGCCAGCUAGAGAUGACAGCCACAGGAGGAGUUGACAGAUUAAGCAAUCUCGCAGAGUCCAUUAUUCACCACAUCCUCUCCUUCCUCGACACUAAAUCCGCCGUCAAAACAUGUGUAUUGUCCAAGCAGUGGGAAUGCACCUGGAAACAUGUUCAUACUCUGAAUCUGAAUCUUUACUUCAGUGAAUUCGAGAGGUACGAAACCUUUGUUGACAAUGUCUUGUCCCUACGCUACCCGCUGCAUGUUGGCAAGGUUAUAUGGUCCACAUUUUCAUACUCUGACGCUCCUGAUGGUUGCGAGUUUUAUCUGCUCAAAAGGAUCGUCCGAUAUGCAGUGUCCCAUGGUGCUCAACAUUUCUGCUUACAGCCCAGAAAUUAUUAUGAACCUCAUAUUUCUCUUCUCAAAUUGUUUGAUUCCAUCCCUGACAUUGUACGAACCCUGGAACUAGUGCGGUUUGACAUCGAUUGUCGACCUGUAUGUUCUAGAUUCCAGUUGCUAACAACAUUAAAACUGGUGAGUUGUCGGUUCUUAACUGAUCGAGAGCUUUUCGAUCCUUUUUCUCAAUUUCACUGUUUGAAUGACUUGGUAUUGCGACAUUGCUCGUGGGAAAGUGAAGGCGGUGAUCACCGACCUGUGAGAUUGAGGGUUUCCGGACUCGAGUUGGGCAGGUUGAGCCUCUUAGCCAUUAAUGUGUGGAAGCUGGAAAUAUUUGCGCCCAAACUCAAAUAUUUCAAAUUGUCAACUCGCGAAAUCAUGGAGUUUUCGGAGCUAACCCUUCCGUCCCUUAUUCAUGCUGAUAUUACAAACCAUUGGGGAUAUAGUGACGAUAGCGAUUAUGCUAUUGACGAAGAACAUCUGGUCAUCAUGUCCCAUGGCAUACAUAACGUGGAAUAUCUGACGCUAUGCAAAGAGAUCAAAGAGGUACGUGCAUCUGGAUGCUUUGCUACUUCUAGCCAAUGAUCUUGUUUUUAUAUCGAGUCUGAUUCUACUUUGUACAGGAAGUCCGUAGGAAGUCCAGGUUUCUAGAGCAGCAACAUUGUACGUUUGCGAAAUUGAAGAAGUUGAUCUUGAAGUGUGACUCCGACGAAGACAUACCUUAUGAGGUUAUGAAUCGUUACUUUUUUAACGGAUCUUCAGAUAUCCAAAUUCGGAAGGCAGGGAUUUAUCAAGUUGUAAUAAUGCAACGUUUAUCUUGAUGUAGUCUUAUGGAACAAUUUGUGCAUUUCCUUACUGUCUUGAAGUAGAAGUUGGAUGAGGAUCGGUUCGAUGUAUUAUGAUGAAUAUUCGUACAGAUUGGGAUCGUUGAUUUGAAUGUUUUAUGGUAUGAUAGUUUAACUAUGGUUUUUGGCACAGCUGCAAAUGCCCUUUUUGUUCUUCUGAAACUCAUUAAAUCAAGAGCAAGCAAUAUCCGCUCAAUCAAAUAAGGAUAUUGAUAUUGUGGAAAGUGCAGUAUGAUCUCAUUGAUUGCAGGAAGCUAAAUGAAGGCAGAAGAUCAAUUGUGCAAUGGCUACUUCACAAAGUAUGAAAACACUAAAAAAGAUGAGUGAAGUGAGAAAAUCUUGUCUAAAGUCGUUGGUGCUCUGCAGAGUGAACUGCUGGUGUAGCUUCAGAGUUGGAGCUGAUUAGUGCAAGAUGUUGAAGCUUUUUGGUGUCAAGUUUCAGUAUUGAACUUACUUUCAACACUCAUCGUCACUUCAACAUCAACAUCAACAUCAACAUCAACAUCAACAUCAACACUAGUAGAUAUUAAGCCUUUUAAAAACUUCUGAUCUACCACGUAGGCUAUUCUCCUUCCUCUCUGCGUUUCACUGCUACUGACUGGUCUGCCCAACUAUAUUAUAAAAAGUGUUAAUUUCUCCUUAAUCCCAGAUUAGUUUAUCUAUGCAAUUAAGUGUUUAUAUUUAUAAUUUUUUUAAAAUCGAUCAUCACAUUAAUUUCUUCACUAAUUUAGAGAAAUGGAAUGAAUUCAAUCAUUCAAAAUAUGGAUCGAAACAAAUUUAAUAUCUUUGAGUUACAGAGAUUAAAUUUGUUUUAACUUUUAAUCAGCAAUAUUUACUAAUUCGUAGCAAUAGUUAAGGUUCUUCGUAUUCUCUCCAAUUAGGGUAAUUAUUCAUGGUUUCUACUAAAUUUUGAAGUUCUUAUUUCUGUUAAAUCAAAGUAGGUUCAAUGAUAGCAUUUUAUUAUCCUCCCAUGAAACAGAGAUUGAAUGGCCAUCGUCGCAAAUUCAAUGGAAGAGAAAGCGACAUAGCUGUCAUAAUCAUCCAUUGAUGGUGAUAAAGAGUAGUUUCCAAUGUUUGGCUCUGCACCAGUAGUUUUCAGCGUAUCAUUGCUUGCAUCCUGAAGCUGAUUGGUUCUACACCAAAAGUUAAUUGAGUCUUGCUCAAUUGCCAGAAGCCUAGAAGAUGGAUUGUGCUACAAUUUCUUCACCUGGAACUCCUGGAUAUAAAGAAUUUGGUUGUCUUUUAAGAUUAGGAAAAUUAGGCUUUGUAGUAGUUGUCUUUCGAGAAGUUCGAAUGAUUUGGUUGUCAAGUUUCGUCCUAUGUUUUCUCGCUCUCGUCGCAAUUCUUAGCGAACAUCUGACAUGGAUUUGAUUUGAUUUCGUAUCAUGUGUCUGCUGCAUGUUUGAAUUCUUUUGGGUAUACAAUGACUUCCCCUGCAACUGCAAUGGAGAUGGGUUGGUCUCGAUUAUUUAUUUAUUUAUCAAAUAUCAUGUAAGCAAAAUGAUUAGCUAUCAACAAUUCAACAUCGCCAUUGACACUGGAAUAUCGGUCUGUUAAUCAUUAGCUGUUCUACCAAUUGUUAUAGUUUGAAGUAUAUGGAUUAAAAGAUGUAUAAAAUAACCUACUAAAUCGUCCUUAAAAUUUCAAAAUCAAACGAUCCCUGGGCCCUCUAAUUUGCUGGGAGAAGGAAGAAAGAAUCUGCAUAUUUCUUAUAAACUUGUUUUGCUGUCCCCUCAAUUUUAGGGUUCAUACAGCUGGAAUAUUUUUUACGUUAAUUUGAGCAAUGAAGAACAACAGUAGUAGUCCCUGCCUGCAGAGAGUCGACAGGUUAAGCGAUCUUCCUGAUGCGAUCGUCGAUCAUAUCCUCUCGUUCCUUGACACUAAGUCAGCCGUGUGACUUCAUCGUUAUCCAAACAAUGGAAACAUGCCUGGAAACACGUCCAAGUUCUCGACAUUCGUGCCCAACACGUAGGGUUUAACUUCGAGCAACUUGAGAGUUAUGUCGACAAGGUAUUGUCCCUCUGUAUUCCUGAUCUUAAGCUCAGCAAGGUCGUCCUACAUGCGAAUAAUAUGGUAAACAAGGGGGAGCCCAAAAACACUCUAGUUCGAAAAAUCAUCAAAUAUGCAUUGUCUCACGACACUCGACAUGUAGCAAUUAACUUGGGAUUUUGGUCCUACAAUGGCAUGAGCCAAUUCGAUGUCAUGUUCGGCUCUGUCCUCGAUUGCAAUGUAGUCGAAACUCUAGAACUAACAUCGUUUAAUACCCUUGGUAUUGGAUUUCAAUCUUCCAGUUUCCGGCUGUUUACAAGGCUAGAAUUGAAGAGUUGCUGGAUUGCAAAUAUAGAUGAUGAUGAUGAUGAUGAUGAAGAGGCUAUUAUUGAGCCAUUUUCUAGAUUUCCAUGUCUGGAAAGUUUAUCCCUGACUGAUUUCGAUACCAAUGAUGAUGAACUUGUGAUAUCCGGGCUCCAAUUGCUUAUUCCAGAUCUUGAAGACAACGAUUUUGACAAGUUUCAGAUACACGCACCGAAACUCAAAUGCUUCAAUUUGGUUGAAACUUGGGAGAUCCCAGAGUGUUCACGGACUAUCCUUCCUUCCCUCGAGCAUGCUGGUAUUUGGGCUGGUAAACACUUAAAAAGAACGGACAACACAACCUCAUCUCCAUCCUCAAUGGACUCAAGAAUGCCAAGUCUCUUCAGUUGGGUUCCUUUACUAUGGAGAUGAUGAGUCAUGAUAUGGAGGUGCUACAACAACACUCAUGUCCCUUUACAAGGCUGCAGAGUUUGAUCUUCGACACUAGCAAUGUCGUACCAGAUACCGUGCUCAACUACUUCAAAGCUUCUUCUAAUAUGAUUCCAGCAGUUAAUUUUGUGACCGGGCGCAUUAUUACUUGAUGAUGUUGUCGUGAUCUAAAUCCAUCUGUUUAUUUAAUUUCUAGCUUUCUGUUUUCAUCUGAUUCAAGAUAAUCAUUUAUACUAUGCUACAGUACUGCCCUUGCUUUUUUAUACUAGGUUUGAUGGUCGCGUGAUACCGUGGAAAUUUUAUUCGACAUUGAUGUGACUAUACUCACUCAUAGAUUAUGAUGUGUACUAUGCUACAAAAACUUGAAUAUCUCUAGUCUCAUAUCCUUUUGAAAUUUUAAUUAUAAGAACAACGAUAUAUUAUAUUAAGAGAAUUUGAGAAUCGGGAUAGAGAGAGAAAGUUAGUAGUGGAGAAUAGAAGGGAGAAUGUACAUUUCAAAGUUGGUAAAUUGACAAUAAUAAGAUGAACAGAUUAACAACUAACUAUGUCAAAUAAUUUUAUUGCGUAUACCAGACCUCCAGCAAAGCCUAGCCUCGGAAUGGCGGAACACCUACCAAAGCGCACCCACAUCGAGAGCUUACCCACCAUGCUCGCUUUGUUUUGGUUCAUUUAUUUGCAGUAGAAUAGGAAUCAUGUACCCUAUGGUUUCUAAAAUAGUGGUUUGCUGAUCUCAACCAUAUGCAUAUUGUAAUGUUAUAUAUGCAGAUGAAUUCAUUGAAAGCAUGAUCAGAACAGCUGCGUAAUACACUGAUUCCGAACUCUGAAACAUGGAAGACAUAUAUGUUGGCUUUGUUUGUUUAGUCGGUAAAAGGAACAACUUUGAAAUAGUGCUGACAGAGAGACAACACACAGACGCAGACAGCAACGCUAUUGAACACAGGUUUCCGCAAAUCCGAACUAUAAUCUCAUAAUUCGGCAAAGUUGUGGUGGGUACAGACUCCGACCAAACCAGCACACUUAAGAGUGGAGUAGCUUCUUGUAAUCCUGGAAUGUCCCGUGGAAAGGUGAUAUCCUUCCCUCGGAAACUGCCCAGAGCUCGUCCACACUUCCGGAGAUCAGAUGCUCGUCGUGACUAACCUGCAAAGUGUGGAUUGCGCAAAAUGUGAUCAAAUCUUAUGUUCCAAGCAGGACGUGAAAGAUAUUGCACGAUUUUUAGGAGCCUGUAACUAUUAAGUACCAUGACAAUGCCUCCUUGAAAGAUAACAAGGCCUUGGAUUAACGCCUCCACUGCAUCCAAAUCCUACAAUUUCCGAUUGCAAUAGACUUAGCAAGCAAGGAACCAACAGUUCUAUUCUAUACAAAUGAUUGGAAGUUAAGAACAUUCUGUACUGAGUAGGGUAUCAACUUACAAGAUGAUUGGACGGUUCAUCGAGUAAGAUCAGAUGUGGUUUCUUGAAAGUAAUCUUUGCAAAUGCAACCCUACUCUUUUGACCACCUGUUAUAUAUCCAGUACAGAACGACGGGGCAGAUAGGAGCAAUGAGAACAUAUGCAACAUAGGAUAAAAGCAUGCUUAUGGCGUUCGUAUGACAUAUCAUCUACUUAAGAAGUAACUAAUUCGAAACUGCUAUGUCUUGAUGAACUUAGGUCGUAUAGCAUAACUAGAGGCAAUCAGGAAUAAAAAAUACAUACCAGAGAGAGUGUACAUGGGUUGAAGGGCAAGGUUUCCGGUCACACCAAAAGAACCCAAAUGAGCUCGUAGCUUCGGUUCGGGUACUCCCUACAAGUCCACAUACCAAUUAAACGGCCUGGGAUCAGAUACUUACCAACAGUAACGGUCCCCCCUUAAUGGGAAAUGAGAACCAAUUAGAAGAAACUAUUAGAGGGAUUAUAAGUUGCAACAUGAGUAUAAUAUUGUUGUUAAGUACUUACAGGGAAGCAGCGCAUCAUGUACAAAAGGGGAUUGGAAGACAGGUCCAGUCCAUCAACGUGAUGCUGACUAAACACAGCAAUACGAACCUGAGGGGAAAAGCUUUACACUGUUAGCUUUGACAUUGAAAUAUGCAAUCAUGCAGGCUACAUAAUAAUUACCGAGUGUUUAAAAGGUUUAGUGGGGUAACUUGGUACAAAUAAAGCAACUACUACUGUACAUAAACGAAACUAUGCUGCCCCAUUAAGGUCACACCUUCGCUGAAUGGAACACGGUACCCGAGCUGGGUUCAAGAUCUCCAGAGAUUAGUUUGAGUAUUGUUGAUUUUCCAAUCCCAUUGGGCCCAACCACUGGAUACAUCAGGGAAAAGUAAAUCAAUCAGAUAGUUAAAAUUUAAUCAACACUAGAAGAUUAUGAAACCACAUUCCCAUGAAGCAGUGGGCUCAUGAUUGAAAACAAUCAACGGCCACAGCAAGAAAUAUAAAUUACAGUCAUGAACCAUAAGAAUACAACUAGGAAUAGAACUCUCAUGAAGUGAAGGUCCUUACUUGCAAUGCGGCUAUCCAAAUCUAUACCAAAAUUCAAGUUCUUAAAUAAUAGGGGGCCGCCUGGAUAACCAAAUGAUGCAUCACUGCAGCCACAUGAAUGCAAACACCAUUGAGUGAGCUUGUGACAUGCUGAAUAAUUUGAAAUGAAGGUAUGCUGACAAAACUUGAACUAACUUGAAACUUAUAAUAGGUGGCCCGGGUCUAUCAUCUGGAGUGGGAAACUCAAACUUAUAGCUGCACACCAAAAAGACAGCCAACAGAUUGCAAAUUCAGUGAAGGCCAAAAGAAAUUUUAAAAAGAUAUGAAAGAAACAUGUGUAAAAACAGUUUGAAACACAAAAGUGAUAGUUGUCCAUACUCAGGAUCAUUUACAACUUCGUCCACAUGACCAAUCCGAUCUAAUGCCUGAAAGAGUAAACAAAUUAACAUAGGCAUAUACUAGCUGUGCAUUCAGUUAUUAUUCAGACAGGAAAAAUGUCAGCACCUUGAUUCUCGACUGGACAAGAGAUGCCCUCUUAGCAUUAUAUCGGAACUUGUCAAUAAAGGUCUGCAGAAUGAAAGUGAAUAGCAGUCCGUUAAAAGUGGGAUUUUAAAAGAUUCAUGUCAGAAACAAGAUGAAGUAGCUCAAAUAAUGCUAUUCUAAGUGCCAUUUUCUAGUAACUUCAUCAGUUUAACACCACAACAAAGUCAUCUAGAAAGAUUCCUCAGCAUUGGAACCACCAAACAAGACUAACAUAGCAUCAAAAGAAUUAUUAUCAGUUGAUUUUACUAACAUUAGAUAUUAGAACACGGAAACAAACAAAUGGUUCAGCCAUUGGCAAAUACCUGCAUAUGGGCUCGCACUCGUUCAUUUGACUCAAAGGCUUUUUGUUGGUUCUUAAGCUGUUCAGCUCGUGUCCUCUCAAAUGUAUCAUAAUUACCUUUGUAACAGGUCAGUUUUUGAUUUUGCAAGUGGAUAACAUCUGUGACCACCUAAACCAGGAAACAAAAAGAAAAAAGAUGAAGAAGAGAGCAUGGAGCUGUUGUGAUAACAAAUUGCUCUUAUGAAGCAGAAGACAAGUAUUACCGUGUUCAGAAAUUCUCUAGCAUGAGAUACAACAAGAAAUGUCUUUGGCCAUUUUACCAGGUAAGACUCUAACCACAGGACAGCAUGAAGAUCAAGAUGAUUCUGCACCGAAUAGGAUCAUGAACUAUAAAAUACUACUUUCAAGACGACUAUAACCACAACAUAAAAGUAUACAGCACCGUGGGUUCAUCAAGAAGCAACAGGUCAGGUUCAAUGAACAGGGCACGAGCAAGGGCAAUUCUCAUCCUCCAUCCUCCUGAAAAUGUUUUUGUUGCCUUGUGUUGCAUCUCUGAAGUGAAACUGAGUCCCUGUAAAGUUUCAUAAGACACAUAAGGACAGCCGUUCACACGUGGAUCACACCAUCUGGCACCCUAUUCCUUCUUUCACGUUCAUUAAUUUAUCUUGGGCAACGGACUGCCAUUAUACAUGCAAUUCGUGUAUCUGUUAAGUUCCGCUUUAAUUCUUGCCUCAGACUUAAAUAGUCCACUUAAUAAAGAGUAGAAAACUGACCGCAAGAAUGGAAGCAGCACGUGCUUCAGCAGAGUAAGCAUCAAUAAACUCGAGCCUUUUGUAGAUUUGCUCAAGUCUCCCCGACAUUGCAUCUUUGUCAAUUACCCCAUUAGGGUCUUUUCCAUUCCCAAGUGCAUGCUCAACCUCUAAUUCUCUCUUUAGGAUAAUGGACAACGUGCCAGCAAGAACACAAUAUAAAAAGAAAUAAAGAUGUGUGACAUUUGUCAUUCCAAGGGAAAACAAAAAUCACCCUUACCUGCUGUGCAAGUAUGCGAGCUUCCUCAUCCAGAAGCUGGGUUCUUUCAAUAUCAGAGUUUAGUACACAUUGUAAAGCUGUUGUAUUGUCUCCAACUACUUCUUGCUCAACGUGUAGAACUUGGCAGUUUGCAGGAAUACCAGCAAUUGCGUGCAUGGCCAUGUGCCUCAAAAAAGUGGUUUUCCCAGUACCAUUUCUCCCAACAAGUCCUGCGCAUAGUAUUACUCGGUAUUAAUAUAAGGAAACAAGGAAAUUAAUUGGUUGACAAGUACUUUCCCUUCAUCCUCUUAUUCAAUGUCAUACAUGCUUGUCGUGUAAUUUUCACAUUGUUAAUGCAAGUUGGACAUAAGACUCACCGUAGUGUCUUCCAAAAGAGAGAGUCAGUGAACCAUCAACAAUAAGAUCACGACCACCAACGGAAAUAUUGAAAUUGUCCAUAUGAAGAUCCUUGACAGUAGGUCCACCACUAUUAUCAUGAUUUACAGAUACAGGAGGCAUCCCAGCUCUUACUGCUUCCAUUUCAGAAAGAUGGACUUGAUAUUGUGCCUGUAUAAACAACAAAUUUCAGAAAGAAAACACACAUAUGAGCAUAGCAGUACAAUUAUGCAAGAAACAAGUACAUGCCACGUAAAUGUAACCCUGGCUUAAUCUGUCAAACCAUGGUAACGAAGGCGAAGUAUAGAGUAACGAAACUAGGAUAAAAAAUUCACUAAAUUUGGUUACCUCUCGCUGCCGCUCGUCCUUCCUCUUUCUCCUUUCUAUCUUCAAUUUGUCACGUUCAGUCAACAAAGGACCAUCUACCGGCUCAACCUUCUUCUUAGGAGCUUCCUCUUCCAUCCCUUCAUUCAUUCUAAAAGGUGUGGUCAGACUUCGCACAGUCGGUUUUGGUUUGGCCAGUCCAUGCUUUCCAAACUUCUCAGACAAUUUGCCACAGACCUGCCCUCAGUGAACAUACAGUUAGAACCAAGAGCAUCUAUGUCCAAGCAUCAAAUCACAGUACCAAGGAAUAAAUACAUAGAUCCUUCAGCAGAUAGUAGCUCCAAUAACGGAAUAUCACAGAAAAAAAAUUCAGAAAUGUAUGGUCGUGGCAGAGAUUAAAGUCGAAACAGAAUUUCAGAUUGUAGUCCUCGUUCAGCUUUCAACAUUCUUCACAAAUCAAUUUAUGUUAGAACGAAUUUCCAUUUCGAAUCACCUAACAUAUGUAGCUCAACCGCGAAUUAAUCACUCAAAACAGGAAGAAAUCAGCUCCAAUUCAAUAUCAAGCAAAACUAACACAAAGAUACUCCCAACCAGCAUAUAACUCAGAUAAUCGCUCACAAAAGAGUUACCUGGCGGCACUCAGGCAUAUCGGAAACGCAUUCAGCAGCGACGAUAAGCUCGCCGAGUGCUUGGAAAAUGCCCUCACCAUCUUCGCCGAAAUCGAAGUCCUCAUCAGCGAGCACGUUAACGAUGUAGUCGACAAUAGGCUGAUCCACGUCCUCGAUUCGCUUUCCCAGCACUUGGUGCACCAGUGAGCUCGCCACUUCGGCCAUGGCCGCAGGAGAAAUGACGAAGCAAAAAAGCCGCUGAAAGAGAAGCUAGCUAGUUUAGAAGAAGAAGCUCCCAGUCAAGUAGAGCCGAUGAUUGAAAACGCUAACCCUCGUGUAAGAAAUGCUCGACCAAGAUGACACCGUUUCGACGUCGACGGGUUCGGAGCCAGCAAUGGCCAAAAAUGCCAAAACCACAAAAACUGGGUUUCCAAAAUCGUCAUCCAUGAUCCCAAGAUGGCUAUUGACGAAUCAAACCAUUCGCAUCGUGAACAGUUUAGUGUUCAGCUCGAAAAGAUUUGUUUGAGUCAGGGUAUAUUCGAUUCGAUAGACUCAUAAGUUGGCUCAAAUUCGAAUUCAAAAAUUAAUUCGAAUACUAACUCGAUAAUAUGAUUGAUCAAUAAACUCAAUAAUGCAACAUGCAUCUUACCUCAAAUAAGUGUCCAACCACUUGUCAUGCAAUCCCUAAUCAAAUUAUGACUUUAAAGAAGCAUUAACAUAUCCAAAAGUCCACCUAAACAUGGUAGAUUUUUGUCACCUGCUGAUUUUUACUUUUUUUUUAAAUUAAAGCAAUACAAAUUCUCCACACCAACUAAGAGACGCCACAUUUAUGAUAGUUAACGCAAUGAAACGAGAUUUACGAACAAAUUUGUCAACCAUUCCUAUUUUUUCUAACCCAAAUAAACUUUUAUACAUGGUUUCAUCUCAAUGAAAUUCUUACAUGAAGGUACCAUCCGGGCGAACUCUUUUGAAACAUCAAGCAUGCCUCCGCUGAUAGCAGUUGCGACCGGUUGGAUGCCGGUUUCGAAGAUGGCAUGGCCGUAUCCCACGCUACUUACCCGAUGCAUGCUUUCAAGCAAGGCUGCUGAGAUCUCCAACUGACGUACAUCCGCACUUCUAACGUCAAGUUUUCAAACCUUGCGUAGUUGCCUAAACAGAAGUAGAACAACACGGCGAGUGCGGAUGAACUAUAUACUGUAUUUAGAUGAUACUGAACAUAUUUACUUAUCACUCAUAUCACAGUCCCGGUGUACCUAUGAUUGGUUAGUUGCAAGUAUUGCUUUUCAGUAGAUUAUAGGCUACUCGAUGACUGUUAUUUCAAGUAUUGUUUUUCAGUUUUCCUCACUUGGACUGCAUGAUUAGGUUUGCAAACAAGAACACAAGAUAGGAAGUAGAAGAUCAGACUUGAAAUAGAACAUGUUAGAAAUGGGUAACUAGUACAAAAUCCAUCACGAUUAAUCUAUAAUCGUAGAGGUUCAAGGCUUUAACAUUCGAAUGUAUCUCCAAAACAACAACUUAAACAAAAGAAGGGGAAAGAAAGAACAGAGUAUCUCACCCUGUUUACCACCCUACAGAAAAUAUUCCCCUACUCUUGUUUGUUCUCUCCACAAUCUACUCCUAUUAUCUUCUUCUCUCUCAUCUCCCAGUUUUGAACUUUUCAAGGUGCCAAAAACAAAAGGAUGGAGAAAUUACAGUU
This 32755-nucleotide long non-coding RNA is filed under the name Linum usitatissimum (flax). Its description in RNAcentral is "long non-coding RNA (LUSI_LNC005270)". The record is from RNAcentral. Lineage: Eukaryota; Viridiplantae; Streptophyta; Magnoliopsida; Malpighiales; Linaceae.